This 497-nucleotide ribosomal RNA is filed under the name uncultured bacterium. Its description in RNAcentral is "partial 16S ribosomal RNA". It matches the Rfam family "Bacterial small subunit ribosomal RNA", at positions 28 to 507 of the family's 1533-position model. The record is from RNAcentral.
GAUGAACGCUGGCGGCGUGCCUAAUACAUGCAAGUCGAGCGAACGGACGAGAAGCUUGCUUCUCUGACGUUAGCGGCGGACGGGUGAGUAACACGUGGAUAACCUACCUAUAAGACUGGGAUAACUUCGGGAAACCGGAGCUAAUACCGGAUCAUAUUUUGAACCGCAUGGUUCAAAAGUGAAAGACGGUUUUGCUGUCACUUAUAGAUGGAUCCGCGCUGCAUUAGCUAGUUGGUAAGGUAACGGCUUACCAAGGCAACGAUGCAUAGCCGACCUGAGAGGGUGAUCGGCCACACUGGAACUGAGACACGGUCCAGACUCCUACGGGAGGCAGCAGUAGGGAAUCUUCCGCAAUGGGCGAAAGCCUGACGGAGCAACGCCGCGUGAGUGAUGAAGGUCUUCGGAUCGUAAAACUCUGUUAUUAGGGAAGAACAUAUGUGUAAGUAACUAUGCACGUCUUGACGGUACCUAAUCAGAAAGCCACGGCUAACUACGUG